Molecule: ribosomal RNA, 235 nt
Filed under: uncultured Burkholderia sp.
Lineage: Bacteria; Pseudomonadati; Pseudomonadota; Betaproteobacteria; Burkholderiales; Burkholderiaceae
Description: partial 16S ribosomal RNA
Rfam family: Bacterial small subunit ribosomal RNA
Source: RNAcentral
UCGCCCGCCGCGCGCGGCGGGCGGGGCGGGGGCACGGGGGGCUACGGGAGGCAGCAGUGGGGAAUAUUGCACAAUGGGCGCAAGCCUGAUGCAGCCAUGCCGCGUGUAUGAAGAAGGCCUUCGGGUUGUAAAGUACUUUCAGCGGGGAGGAAGGCGAUGCGGUUAAUAACCGCGUCGAUUGACGUUACCCGCAGAAGAAGCACCGGCUAACUCCGUGCCAGCAGCCGCGGUAAUA